This is a long non-coding RNA of Dreissena polymorpha, 527 nucleotides long. RefSeq lists it as uncharacterized. Lineage: Eukaryota; Metazoa; Mollusca; Bivalvia; Myida; Dreissenidae. The record is from RefSeq and is a predicted model, not a curated record. The transcript is spliced from 3 exons.
AACUGCCGCUAUCUUUUUCUGGCUUGCUGGAAUGUGUAUAAUCUCUUCUGAUUGGUUGUUUACAGAUUGUGAGCCAAAUUUUGAAUGUGUAAACAUAGAUCGAUGCAGGAACUGUUAGUGUUACUGGCUUGAAAUGUAGUUUCAAAGCAAUGUUGGGACUUUUUAAAGUUGAAGUUUUAACAAUAUCCUGAAAUACUUUGAUGAACAUUUUUCAACAAUUGAUUAGAAUGAGGAAAUCAACAUUUUGUGUGUUUACAAGUCUCUAAAAGAGGAAUUCAGUGAGUUAUGAAGUGGCCCUUUGGAAAUGCUUUGAACUAUUAAACAGCGAUUUUCAAAAAAGAUUGUGUAGCAACUUACGGGUGGCCUGACAACGACCUCAGUAGUGCAGUCACAGAGUAAUGGUGCUUAAAAGCUACUGUCAAAAAAGAUUGUGUAGCAACUUUCCCCUGACAACGACCUCGGUAGUGCAGUCACAGAGUGAUGGUACCUCAGGUUCAAGUUAAGGCAAAAGAAGAGCUCUAAAAGGG